CUAUAAUGACCUAAGAUGCCAACUUUGCAUGACCUCCCUCCUCAUAUAUUUUAGGAAGGAAAGGUGGUAGUUUGCAGAGGUGAGGCAGGGGAGAGGGGCAUAAAAUAAUAUAUUUUCUACUUGGCAUCUGGGGACACUCUCAGCUCUCAGCGCCCAGCCCAGCUCCCUUCAAAAUGUUUGCUGUUCAUGAAAUCCUGUGCAAGCUCAGCUUGCAGGGUGAUCACUUUACACCCCCAAGUGCAUAUGGGUCAAAGCCUACACUAACUUUGAUGCUAAGCAGGAUGCUUUGAAUAUUGAAACGGCCAACAAGACCAAAGGUAUGGAUGUGGUCACCAUUGUUAAUAUUUUGACCAACCACAGCAAUGCACAGAGACAGGAUAUUGCCUUUGCCUACCAGAGAAGGACCAAAAAGGAACUUACAUCAGCACUGAAGUCAGCCUUAUCUGGCCACCUAGAGAUAGUGAUUUUGAGCCUAUUGAGGACACCUGCUCAGUAUGAUACUUCUGAGCUAAAAGCUUCCAAGAAGGGACUGGGAACAGACGAGGACUCCGUCAUUGAGAUAAUCUGCUCAAGAACCAACCAAGGGCUGCAGGAAAUUAACAGAGUCUACAAGGAAAUGUACAAAACUGAUCUGGAGAAGGACAUUAUUUUGGACACAUCUGGUGAUAUCUGCAAGCUGAUGGUUGCCCUGGCAAAGGGCAGAAGAGCAGAGGAUGGCUCUGUCAUUGAUUAACUGAUUGACCAAGAUGCCUGGGAUCUCUACAACACUGGAGUGAAGAGGAAAGGAACUGAUGGUCCUUUCAAGUGGAUCAGCAUCAUGACUGAGCAGAACGUGUCCUAUCUCCAGAAAGUACUUCCUAGGUACAAGAGCUACAGCCCUUAGGACCCACAGGAGAGCAUCAAGAAAGAGGUUAAAGGAGACCUGGAAAAUGCUUUCCUGAACCUGGUCCAGUGCACUCAGAACAAGCCCCUGUAUUUUGCUGAUCAGCUGUACGACUCCAUGAAGUGCAAAGGGACUCGAGAUAAGGUCCUGAUCAGAAUUAUGGUCUCCUGAAGUGACGUGGACAUGUUGAAAAUUAGAUCUUAAUUCAAGAGAAAGUACAGCAAGUCCCUAUACUAUUACACCCAGCAAGACACUAAGGGUGACUACCAGAAAGCGCUGCUGUACCUGUGUGGUGAUGACUGAAGCCCGACACGGCAUGAGCAUCCAGAAAUGGUGCUCCCCAUGCUUCCAGCUGACAGGUCUAGAAAACCAGUUUGCGACUAACAGUCUCUGUGGCUGUCUCUGUGAGGAUGACGUUGGCAUUGCCCCCGACCUCAUUUUAGUUGCCCAAGCAUUGCCUGACUUUCCUGUCUCGUCUUUCCUGUAAGCCAGAGAAGUGAAAUUCCAAGGAGUUGGAAGUAAGUCUAUGAUGUGAAAUACUUUGCCUCCUCUAUAUUGUAUCAUAAACAGAUGAAUAAACUG
RNA transcript from Sapajus apella (tufted capuchin), 1465 nucleotides. It is a transcript of the gene named annexin A2 pseudogene, with no coding region annotated. The transcript has a single exon. Lineage: Eukaryota; Metazoa; Chordata; Mammalia; Primates; Cebidae. The record is from RefSeq and is a predicted model, not a curated record.